CGAAACCCUUAUUUUUCUAAUUCUCUUUUCCUUCCCCACAUUCUCUCUUCUCUCUCACGCUCACACUAUCGCUCCUUUCUUCAACCGGCGGCUUCAGCAGUUGUGACCGGUGCUGGGGAGGACUAUUCAGAUCCAGGUAUUUGAUCGGUAGUAACUGUGCGAAUCGUCGCGGCGGAGACUCAAGGUAAACCUGAUGCUGCGUUCGCAAGCCUCAGAGUCACCUUCGUUUUUACUUAUUCCCAUUUGUUCCUUUUUAUUCUGGAACAGUGAUGUAUUUAUUAUGUAUAACUACUACUAGAAAGGCUUAAGACUUGUACCACUGUUUUUGGGAAUUGUAAUUGUUUAGAGUUAUAUAAUUUGAAGUUAGUGAA
Molecule: long non-coding RNA, 371 nt
Organism: Nicotiana attenuata
Lineage: Eukaryota; Viridiplantae; Streptophyta; Magnoliopsida; Solanales; Solanaceae
Exons: 2
Source: RefSeq, a predicted model, not a curated record